This 1575-nucleotide ribosomal RNA is filed under the name Triticum aestivum (bread wheat). RNAcentral describes it as "partial small subunit ribosomal RNA". Lineage: Eukaryota; Viridiplantae; Streptophyta; Magnoliopsida; Poales; Poaceae. The record is from RNAcentral.
GUAGCCGGUCCCGGCCUUUUAUCCCCAGCCAUUCCCCGCCACUCCCAGCUGCCACAGCGGAUAACUGAAGCUAAGCAAUCACCAGAACUCACGCACGCACACGAAGAACACAGAAACCAGAGGAGCAUAAACAAGAUUUCGAAGAUGCAAGCAUUCCUCGCCUAUUCGAUCCUUACGAAUCCAUGCUCGAGAUCCUUCUUCCCGCGUCCAGCAACGCGACCGCAGUUCCUCCUGUCCUCGGUUCCGGCAGCGAGGACUAGUGCUGCUGCCACCGCAAGAAGAUGCGGUGGGCCGGGCCGGAGCGUGGUGACCGCGGCGUCAUCGUCCCCGGCAGUGGUCACCGCGGCGACGGACGUUCCGGGGACGAUGAAGGCUUGGGCGUACGAAGAGUACGGGGACGCCAGCGUGCUCAAGCUCGACGAGGCCGUGUCGGUGCCGGCGGUGGGCGAGGACCAGGUGCUGGUCCGGGUGGCUGCCGCGGCGCUCAACCCCGUCGAUUCCAAGCGGCGUAUGGGCAAGUUCAAGGCCACCGACUCCCCACUCCCGACUGUGCCAGGGUACGACAUGGCCGGAGUGGUCGUCAAGGUCGGCAGCCAGGUGAAGAACCUCAAGGAAGGCGACGAGGUGUACGGCCACAUCAGCGAGAAGGUCCUCGAGGGACCCAAGCAGUUCGGCUCGCUGGCAGAGUACACCGCCGUGGAGGAGAAGCUGGUGGCGCUCAAGCCCAAGAGCAUCGACUUCGCGCAGGCCGCCGGUCUGCCGCUCGCCAUCGAGACCGCCCAUGAGGGCCUCGAGAGAGCAGGCUUCUCCGCCGGCAAGUCCAUCCUUGUCCUCGGCGGCGCCGGCGGAGUCGGGACCCUUGUCAUCCAGCUGGCAAAGCAAGUUUACGGCGCAUCGAAAGUGGCGGCCACAGCCAGCACCCCAAAGCUGGAGCUCCUGAAAAGCCUGGGAGCCGACGUCGCCAUUGAUUACACCAAGGAGAACUUCGAGGACAUGCCGGAGAAGUACGACGUCGUGUUCGACGCAGUCGGCCAGGGCGAGAAGGCGGUCAAGGUGGUGAAGGAAGGCGGCAGCGUGGUGGUCCUCACAGGCGCGGUCGCGCCUCCGGGGUUCCGGUUCGUGGUCACCUCCGACGGGUCCGUCCUGGCGAAGCUCAACCCUUACCUCGAGUCCGGGAAGGUGAAGCCGGUGGUCGACCCCAAGGGGCCCUUCCCCUUCUCCCAGGUCGUGGAGGCGUUUUCUUACCUUGAGACCGGGCGAGCCACCGGCAAAGUAGUCAUUUCGCCUGUUCCAUGAGACACUGCUGUAAAUAGCUAGCACAGGUGAUGUAUUUUUGUCACGGAUUACUGAGCAAAUAUUUGUUGGAUCGUGAGUAUAAACAGAAAAGGAUGUGAUGUUAUCAGAGAUGGUGGUAGGUUCCUGGAGUAUUACUACAAUGAACAGAAAUCUGUAGUAUUUGUUCAAUCUGUACCUGGCCUUUCACCAUUCAGUUACGUUUCAGAUGUUUCAAAAGGCUACAGAGGGUUGUACUGCUUUCCUGAAUUUCCAAGUGAAAGUGAGCGCACUAAUUAUUCC